This is a non-coding RNA of Emys orbicularis (European pond turtle), 72 nucleotides long. NCBI's taxonomy places the organism in Eukaryota, Metazoa, Chordata, Testudines, Emydidae. The record is from the annotation of a RefSeq genome assembly.
GGGGGUAUAGCUCAGUGGUAGAGUAUUUGACUCCAGAUUAAGUGUGCUUUGGUUUAAAUCCGAGUGCCCCCU